AGCUUUGCGCAGUGGCAGUAUCGUAGCCAAUGAGGUUUAUCCGAGGCGCGAUUAUUGCUAAUUGCAUUUUUAAAAUAUGUAUGAGAAAACUAGAAGGUUUUAAAAAUCUCUCAAUCAUAUACUCCUCUUCAAGUAU
Molecule: small nuclear RNA, 136 nt
Organism: Mirounga angustirostris (Northern elephant seal)
Lineage: Eukaryota; Metazoa; Chordata; Mammalia; Carnivora; Phocidae
Product: U4 spliceosomal RNA
Exons: 1
Source: RefSeq, a predicted model, not a curated record